CAGCCGCCGCGGGAAUACGUAGGUGGCGAGCGUUGUCCGGAUUUAUUGGGCGUAAAGCGUGCGCAGGCGGUUGUGUAAGACAGGUGUGAAAUCCCCGGGCUUAACCUGGGAACUGCGCUUGUGACUGCACAGCUAGAGUAUGGCAGAGGGGGGUGGAAUUCCACGUGUAGCAGUGAAAUGCGUAGAGAUGUGGAGGAACACCGAUGGCGAAGGCAGCCCCCUGGGCCAAUACUGACGCUCAUGCACGAAAGCGUGGGGAGCAAACAGGAUUAGAGACCCCCGUAGUCCCUGUCUCUUAUAC
Molecule: ribosomal RNA, 301 nt
Filed under: uncultured bacterium
Lineage: Bacteria
Description: partial 16S ribosomal RNA
Rfam family: Bacterial small subunit ribosomal RNA
Source: RNAcentral